RNAcentral lists this ribosomal RNA (464 nucleotides) under uncultured bacterium. RNAcentral describes it as "partial 16S ribosomal RNA". It matches the Rfam family "Bacterial small subunit ribosomal RNA", at positions 338 to 795 of the family's 1533-position model. The record is from RNAcentral.
CCUACGUGAGGCAGCAGUAGGGAAUUUUCGUCAAUGGGCGCAAGCCUGAACGAGCAAUGCCGCGUGAACGAGGAAGGUCUUCGGAUCGUAAAGUUCUGUUGAAGGGGAAAAAGAGCGGAGAGAGGAAAUGCUUUCUGAUUGAUAUUACCCUUCGAGGAAGUCACGGCUAACUACGUGCCAGCAGCCGCGGUAAUACGUAGGUGGCGAGCGUUAUCCGGAAUGAUUGGGCGUAAAGGGUGCGUAGGCGGCCUGCUAAGUCUGGAGUGAAAGGUACCGGCUCAACCGGUACAGGCUCUGGAAACUGGCGGGCUAGAGAGCAGGAGAGGGCGGUGGAACUCCAUGUGUAGCGGUAAAAUGCGUAGAUAUAUGGAAGAACACCGAUUGCGACGGCAGCCUGCUGGACUGUAACUGACGCUGAUGCUCGAAAGUGUGGGUAUCAAACAGGAUUAGAUACCCCUGUAGUC